GGGGCUGUAGCUCAGUAGUAGAGCGCUUGCAUAGCGCAUGUAAGGCACAGGGUUCAAUCCUCAGCAGCCCCA
RNAcentral lists this transfer RNA (72 nucleotides) under Ictidomys tridecemlineatus (thirteen-lined ground squirrel). RNAcentral's name for it is "Spermophilus tridecemlineatus (thirteen-lined ground squirrel) tRNA". It matches the Rfam family "tRNA". Rfam says of the family: Transfer RNA (tRNA) molecules are approximately 80 nucleotides in length. The record is from Rfam by way of RNAcentral. Lineage: Eukaryota; Metazoa; Chordata; Mammalia; Rodentia; Sciuridae.